RNAcentral lists this ribosomal RNA (2494 nucleotides) under Streptococcus pyogenes. RNAcentral describes it as "partial 23S ribosomal RNA". It matches the Rfam family "Bacterial large subunit ribosomal RNA", at positions 1 to 2515 of the family's 2925-position model. The record is from RNAcentral. Lineage: Bacteria; Bacillati; Bacillota; Bacilli; Lactobacillales; Streptococcaceae.
AAGGUUAAGUUAAUAAGGGCGCACGGUGGAUGCCUUGGCACUAGAAGCCGAAGAAGGACGUGACAAACGACGAAAUGCUUUGGGGAGCUGUAAGUAAGCGCUGAUCCAGAGAUGUCCGAAUGGGGGAACCCACUAACUAAUGGUUAGUAUCCAUAACUGUUAAGGUUAUGAGAAGGAAGACGCAGUGAACUGAAACAUCUAAGUAGCUGCAGGAAGAGAAAGCAAACGCGAUUGCCUUAGUAGCGGCGAGCGAAACGGCAGGAGGGCAAACCGAAGUGUUUACACUUCGGGGUUGUAGGACUGCGACGUGGGACUUUAAAAGGAUAGAAGAAUUACCUGGGAAGGUAAGCCAAAGAGAGUAAAAGCCUCGUAUUUAAAAUUCUUUUGAGCCCUAGCAGUAUCCUGAGUACGGCGAGACACGUGAAAUCUCGUUGGAAUCUGGGAGGACCAUCUCCCAACCCUAAAUACUCUCUAGUGACCGAUAGUGAACCAGUACCGUGAGGGAAAGGUGAAAAGCACCCCGGGAGGGGAGUGAAAUAGAACCUGAAACCGUGUGCCUACAACAAGUUCGAGCCCGUUAAUGGGUGAGAGCGUGCCUUUUGUAGAAUGAACCGGCGAGUUACGAUAUGAUGCGAGGUUAAGUUGAAGAGACGGAGCCGUAGGGAAACCGAGUCUUAAUAGGGCGAUUUAGUAUCAUGUUGUAGACCCGAAACCAUGUGACCUACCCAUGAGCAGGUUGAAGGUGAGGUAAAACUCACUGGAGGACCGAACCAGGGCACGUUGAAAAGUGCUUGGAUGACUUGUGGGUAGCGGAGAAAUUCCAAACGAACUUGGAGAUAGCUGGUUCUCUCCGAAAUAGCUUUAGGGCUAGCGUCGAUGUUAAGUCUCUUGGAGGUAGAGCACUGUUUGGGUGAGGGGUCCAUCUCGGAUUACCAAUCUCAGAUAAACUCCGAAUGCCAACGAGAUAUCAUCGGCAGUCAGACUGCGAGUGCUAAGAUCCGUAGUCGAAAGGGAAACAGCCCAGACCACCAGCUAAGGUCCCAAAAUAACUGUUAAGUGGAAAAGGAUGUGGGGUUGCACAGACAACUAGGAUGUUAGCUUAGAAGCAGCUAUUCAUUCAAAGAGUGCGUAAUAGCUCACUAGUCGAGUGACCCUGCGCCGAAAAUGUACCGGGGCUAAAACAGUUUACCGAAGCUGUGGAUGACACAAAAGUGUCAUGGUAGGAGAGCGUUCUAUGUGUGAAGAAGGUGUACCGUGAGGAGCGCUGGAACGCAUAGAAGUGAGAAUGCCGGUAUGAGUAGCGAAAGACAGGUGAGAAUCCUGUCCACCGUAAGACUAAGGUUUCCAGGGGAAGGCUCGUCCGCCCUGGGUUAGUCGGGACCUAAGGAGAGACCGAAAGGUGUAUCCGAUGGCCAACAGGUUGAUAUUCCUGUACUAGAGUAUAUAGUGAUGGAGGGACGCAGUAGGCUAACUAAACCGGACGAUUGGAAGAGUCCGGCUAAGCAGUGAGGUGUAAGAUGAGUCAAAUGCUUAUCUUUAUAACAUUGAGCUGUGAUGGGGAGCGAAUUUUAGUAGCGAAGUUAGUGAUGUCACACUGCCAAGAAAAGCUUCUAGCGUUUAAUGAUACUCUACCCGUACCGCAAACCGACACAGGUAGUCGAGGCGAGUAGCCUCAGGUGAUCGAGAGAACUCUCGUUAAGGAACUCGGCAAAAUGACCCCGUAACUUCGGGAGAAGGGGUGCUGACUUAGGUCAGCCGCAGUGAAUAGGCCCAAGCAACUGUUUAUCAAAAACACAGCUCUCUGCUAAAUCGUAAGAUGAUGUAUAGGGGGUGACGCCUGCCCGGUGCUGGAAGGUUAAGAGGAGGGUUUAGCGCAAGCGAAGAUCUGAAUUGAAGCCCCAGUAAACGGCGGCCGUAACUAUAACGGUCCUAAGGUAGCGAAAUUCCUUGUCGGGUAAGUUCCGACCCGCACGAAAGGCGUAAUGAUUUGGGCACUGUCUCAACGAGAGACUCGGUGAAAUUUUAGUACCUGUGAAGAUGCAGGUUACCCGCGACAGGACGGAAAGACCCCAUGGAGCUUUACUGCAGUUUGAUAUUGAGUAUCUGUACCACAUGUACAGGAUAGGUAGGAGCCAUUGACUUCGGGACGCCAGUUUCGAAUGAGGCGCUGUUGGGAUACUACCCUUGUGUUAUGGCUACUCUAACCCAGAUAGGUUAUCCCUAUCGGAGACAGUGUCUGACGGGCAGUUUGACUGGGGCGGUCGCCUCCUAAAGAGUAACGGAGGCGCCCAAAGGUUCYCUCAGAUUGGUUGGAAAUCAAUCGCAGAGUGUAAAGGUAUAAGGGAGCUUGACUGCGAGAGCUACAACUCGAGCAGGGACGAAAGUCGGGCUUAGUGAUCCGGUGGUACCGAAUGGAAGGGCCAUCGCUCAACGGAUAAAAGCUACCCUGGGGAUAACAGGCUUAUCUCCCCCAAGAGUUCACAUCGACGGGGAG